UUAAGCGACUAAGCGUACACGGUGGAUGCCCUGGCAGUCAGAGGCGAUGAAGGACGUGCUAAUCUGCGAUAAGCGUCGGUAAGGUGAUAUGAACCGUUAUAACCGGCGAUUUCCGAAUGGGGAAACCCAGUGUGUUUCGACACACUAUCAUUAACUGAAUCCAUAGGUUAAUGAGGCGAACCGGGGGAACUGAAACAUCUAAGUACCCCGAGGAAAAGAAAUCAACCGAGAUUCCCCCAGUAGCGGCGAGCGAACGGGGAGCAGCCCAGAGCCUGAAUCAGUGUGUGUGUUAGUGGAAGCGUCUGGAAAGGCGCGCGAUACAGGGUGACAGCCCCGUACACAAAAAUGCACAUACUGUGAGCUCGAUGAGUAGGGCGGGACACGUGGUAUCCUGUCUGAAUAUGGGGGGACCAUCCUCCAAGGCUAAAUACUCCUGACUGACCGAUAGUGAACCAGUACCGUGAGGGAAAGGCGAAAAGAACCCCGGCGAGGGGAGUGAAAAAGAACCUGAAACCGUGUACGUACAAGCAGUGGGAGCACGCUUAGGCGUGUGACUGCGUACCUUUUGUAUAAUGGGUCAGCGACUUAUAUUCUGUAGCAAGGUUAACCGAAUAGGGGAGCCGAAGGGAAACCGAGUCUUAACUGGGCGUUAAGUUGCAGGGUAUAGACCCGAAACCCGGUGAUCUAGCCAUGGGCAGGUUGAAGGUUGGGUAACACUAACUGGAGGACCGAACCGACUAAUGUUGAAAAAUUAGCGGAUGACUUGUGGCUGGGGGUGAAAGGCCAAUCAAACCGGGAGAUAGCUGGUUCUCCCCGAAAGCUAUUUAGGUAGCGCCUCGUGAAUUCAUCUCCGGGGGUAGAGCACUGUUUCGGCAAGGGGGUCAUCCCGACUUACCAACCCGAUGCAAACUGCGAAUACCGGAGAAUGUUAUCACGGGAGACACACGGCGGGUGCUAACGUCCGUCGUGAAGAGGGAAACAACCCAGACCGCCAGCUAAGGUCCCAAAGUCAUGGUUAAGUGGGAAACGAUGUGGGAAGGCCCAGACAGCCAGGAUGUUGGCUUAGAAGCAGCCAUCAUUUAAAGAAAGCGUAAUAGCUCACUGGUCGAGUCGGCCUGCGCGGAAGAUGUAACGGGGCUAAACCAUGCACCGAAGCUGCGGCAGCGACACUAUGUGUUGUUGGGUAGGGGAGCGUUCUGUAAGCCUGUGAAGGUGUACUGUGAGGUAUGCUGGAGGUAUCAGAAGUGCGAAUGCUGACAUAAGUAACGAUAAAGCGGGUGAAAAGCCCGCUCGCCGGAAGACCAAGGGUUCCUGUCCAACGUUAAUCGGGGCAGGGUGAGUCGACCCCUAAGGCGAGGCCGAAAGGCGUAGUCGAUGGGAAACAGGUUAAUAUUCCUGUACUUGGUGUUACUGCGAAGGGGGGACGGAGAAGGCUAUGUUGGCCGGGCGACGGUUGUCCCGGUUUAAGCGUGUAGGCUGGUUUUCCAGGCAAAUCCGGAAAAUCAAGGCUGAGGCGUGAUGACGAGGUACUACGGUGCUGAAGCAACAAAUGCCCUGCUUCCAGGAAAAGCCUCUAAGCAUCAGGUAACAUCAAAUCGUACCCCAAACCGACACAGGUGGUCAGGUAGAGAAUACCAAGGCGCUUGAGAGAACUCGGGUGAAGGAACUAGGCAAAAUGGUGCCGUAACUUCGGGAGAAGGCACGCUGAUAUGUAGGUGAAGUCCCUCGCGGAUGGAGCUGAAAUCAGUCGAAGAUACCAGCUGGCUGCAACUGUUUAUUAAAAACACAGCACUGUGCAAACACGAAAGUGGACGUAUACGGUGUGACGCCUGCCCGGUGCCGGAAGGUUAAUUGAUGGGGUUAGCGCAAGCGAAGCUCUUGAUCGAAGCCCCGGUAAACGGCGGCCGUAACUAUAACGGUCCUAAGGUAGCGAAAUUCCUUGUCGGGUAAGUUCCGACCUGCACGAAUGGCGUAAUGAUGGCCAGGCUGUCUCCACCCGAGACUCAGUGAAAUUGAACUCGCUGUGAAGAUGCAGUGUACCCGCGGCAAGACGGAAAGACCCCGUGAACCUUUACUAUAGCUUGACACUGAACAUUGAGCCUUGAUGUGUAGGAUAGGUGGGAGGCUUUGAAGUGUGGACGCCAGUCUGCAUGGAGCCGACCUUGAAAUACCACCCUUUAAUGUUUGAUGUUCUAACGUUGACCCGUAAUCCGGGUUGCGGACAGUGUCUGGUGGGUAGUUUGACUGGGGCGGUCUCCUCCUAAAGAGUAACGGAGGAGCACGAAGGUUGGCUAAUCCUGGUCGGACAUCAGGAGGUUAGUGCAAUGGCAUAAGCCAGCUUGACUGCGAGCGUGACGGCGCGAGCAGGUGCGAAAGCAGGUCAUAGUGAUCCGGUGGUUCUGAAUGGAAGGGCCAUCGCUCAACGGAUAAAAGGUACUCCGGGGAUAACAGGCUGAUACCGCCCAAGAGUUCAUAUCGACGGCGGUGUUUGGCACCUCGAUGUCGGCUCAUCACAUCCUGGGGCUGAAGUAGGUCCCAAGGGUAUGGCUGUUCGCCAUUUAAAGUGGUACGCGAGCUGGGUUUAGAACGUCGUGAGACAGUUCGGUCCCUAUCUGCCGUGGGCGCUGGAGAACUGAGGGGGGCUGCUCCUAGUACGAGAGGACCGGAGUGGACGCAUCACUGGUGUUCGGGUUGUCAUGCCAAUGGCACUGCCCGGUAGCUAAAUGCGGAAGAGAUAAGUGCUGAAAGCAUCUAAGCACGAAACUUGCCCCGAGAUGAGUUCUCCCUGACCCUUUAAGGGUCCUGAAGGAACGUUGAAGACGACAACGUUGAUAGGCCGGGUGUGUAAGCGCAGCGAUGCGUUGAGCUAACCGGUACUAAUGAACCGUGAGGCUUAACCUU
Molecule: ribosomal RNA, 2901 nt
Filed under: Escherichia coli
Lineage: Bacteria; Pseudomonadati; Pseudomonadota; Gammaproteobacteria; Enterobacterales; Enterobacteriaceae
Description: bacterial LSU rRNA
Rfam family: Bacterial large subunit ribosomal RNA
Source: RNAcentral